Long non-coding RNA from Mytilus californianus (California mussel), 682 nucleotides. RefSeq lists it as uncharacterized. The record is from RefSeq and is a predicted model, not a curated record. The transcript is spliced from 4 exons. NCBI's taxonomy places the organism in Eukaryota, Metazoa, Mollusca, Bivalvia, Mytilida, Mytilidae.
CACUACAUGAAAAACAAAACGUUAGGAACAGUUGCAUGGAACUCUACCGCUUUGAUGUGUCAUUCCUCUGGAUGUGACUUAACGUUGAAAAUGAUCAGAGAAAAACCUAUUAUGUUUACGUCAACAAUAUUUCUUGAACCAGUGAGUUUUGAUGUAUAUGAUAAAGUAGACAUACGCAUGCCGGCGUUUAUGUAUGGAACAGAACUUUCCACAGUGGGGCAUCAGUGUGUUAUACCAGGAUUUAGUUAUAAUAAAUUCUACGAGAUCUGGGGAUGUCCUAAAACUGUAAUGGAAGUAGCUAAUUUCGGUCAUUGUGAUAUAUUAGAUACAGUACCAUGGACUGGAUGUAAAGACAUACAUUUUUGCACAAUUACACCAAAUGUUACUAAACUGCUUGAAUACAAGGAAUUUGUACAAGGUGCAGCUAGCAGUUUUCUAGUUAGUUCCCUGCAAGGCAGAGCAGAUGCGAUAAAGUACAUAACACAAAAACCUCUUAUACCAUUACAUUUACUAGAAUUGAGAAGUGAUCUUAACUGCACAAAGAAUUAAACAGAAGUUUGCCUAGAACAAUGACUUGCCGAUGAAUAUCAAAUUCUAAAUACAAUGAUUAUUUUUCUUGCAGAUUAAACAACUGUUUUUUUUUAUUUGUUAUAUUUUAUGCUCAAUGCAAUAUCAGUUCAUC